GCCCCGGCCAAUGCAGUAAGACCAGACAAGGAAACGAGAGGCGUACGCUUUGGGAAGGAAGCCCACCUGACAAGGCAGGAAAAAGAAAUAGGAGUUAACCUCUGAAAGAAAGAGCUGCUGUUACCCUUUGUACGUGCUUAGUACGUGCUUAGAAAACCCAACCUGGGGGUCCAGGUUGCUGCACAUGUGAGCCCACUGCACGCACGGGGCUGGGCGGAGUGCGAGUCUGAUACACUGUGGGCGCUCGGUCAGUGCAGGCCGACGAGUUUACGAGGGACUCCCCGGGGAACCCGUUUCUCCCAGCUCUGGUCCUGGCAGGAGCAGCUGCCUGCCCCUUGCCUGCCCAGCACUGCUGUCCCUGGCCUGCAGGACCCUUUGAGGAUGCCCUGAAGUUGCAUGAGUGCUCAGUGGCGGCAGGCGUGACAGCAGCCCCCCCUCCCUUGGAGGACCAGUGGCCCAGCCCUCCUACCCGCCGAGCCCCUGUGGCCCCCACGGAGGAACAGCUGCGUCAGGAGCCCUGGUACCAUGGCCGGAUGAGCCGUCGGGCGGCAGAGAGGAUGCUUCGAGCUGACGGGGACUUCCUCGUGCGAGACAGCGUCACCAACCCCGGGCAGUAUGUCCUCACCGGCAUGCACGCCGGGCAGCCCAAGCACCUGCUGCUCGUGGACCCCGAGGGUGUGGUUCGGACGAAGGACGUGCUGUUUGAGAGCAUCAGCCACCUGAUCGACCACCACCUGCAGAACGGGCAGCCCAUCGUGGCCGCCGAGAGUGAGCUGCACCUGCGCGGCGUGGUCUCACGGGAGCCCUGAGCCAGGUGACCGUUCUCAGCCCCGGCUCCUGCCUGUCGUGGCCUUGGGGCUCUCAGCCCUCCUCCUGGAUCCUGGUCAGGCCGAACCGCCGCUGCCUCUCCUUCCUCCGCAUGAGCCUCUGGCAUGGUCCUUCCUCCAGCUGGCCCCCGGCUGGGCAGAGCCUCCUCCUGCCGGGGCCCCUGCCCACCCCCUCCUUUGCCUGGAGUGAGGGUGUUCAUACCAAAGACGGAACCGUUUCGCCUUUAAAGAAAAUAUAUCCAGAAGCAGCCGCUGCCUCGGAGCCCUGGCCCGUGGGUCCCCCUCUCACCGGGCUGGUUCAGUCUAAUUCCCCGGAGAGUCAGGGCUCCCCGGACCCUGGGGAGGAGGUGGAUUCCGGGCCUGGCUGGGCUUCCUUUUCCCACCUGAGGACUGGGUGCACAGUUGUCUUUGAGGGAGGACGGUUAAGGUGCUUUGGGGUUCUCAGGCCAGGACACAUGCUGGCGCUGAAGUGGAGGCAGCCUUGAGGUCACCUGGGAUCUCGGGGUAGCCAGGCCGCUCCAAGACAGUGGAUAUCGAGGCAGUCGUGAGGCCCCUACUCCACCUGGGAGCAGGGGAAGGACGUGGUUGCCUGGCCCGAGCUGCGCCCAGCAGCUUCCCCCCAAUCCCGCCCUCCCAGCUGUGGACCCAGACCGGAUGUUCGGAUCGGUUUGUAAUUAAACCUGGGAAUGGCCACAAGA
RNAcentral lists this small RNA (1525 nucleotides) under Pongo abelii (Sumatran orangutan). RNAcentral's name for it is "retained intron". The record is from RNAcentral. Lineage: Eukaryota; Metazoa; Chordata; Mammalia; Primates; Hominidae.